GGUGCUGCGGGCUCUGCCGAAAGCGCUGAAAUAAAAAACCAUCGCCACUCAGGGAGAACUGAGGCAAGUGGGGCUGAGACUCUGGCGACACCCCCGCCCCCCAGCCUCUGCCCCAGCGCCUGCCGCCCUGCCGCCCUGCCGCACCCCGCCUGCUUGGGUGGCGACCGCGGUUCCGGAACGCGAAGCAGGGCAGAGGGCUGCAGAGAGGCGUGUAGCUUUGUGCGCCAGGACCCGGUGGGGCAGGUGGCAGCCCCGGGCUGUCCGCGCCUCCCAGCAGAGCCGAGCUCGGCGCCGCCCACCGAGCCCACCUCGCGGUCCAGCCGCCGCCAGCGCCUUUCGGCUCUGGCCUGAAGCAGUACUCCCGCCUCCUGGAGCGGGAAAGUCUGGAGACUCACCAAGCUGAGGAGGAAGAAGGGAACAUCUCAACCCAAGCUGAAUUCUGAAGAACACUUGGCCCCAUCUUCCAGAAAUCCUAAAUCACAUAGAGGGAAAGUUUUGGCCAGGGCACCAAGAAUGAACCAGAAGCUGAGUCCAUUACUCCAAUUUUCACAUUAACCAGGAGACACAUUGAAAAUUCUUUUCUUGAGUGAGAGACUGAAAUUUUGGCUCA
RNAcentral lists this long non-coding RNA (610 nucleotides) under Homo sapiens (human). RNAcentral describes it as "non-protein coding LINC01833:30". Lineage: Eukaryota; Metazoa; Chordata; Mammalia; Primates; Hominidae. The record is from RNAcentral.